GAAAUAGUAAAUUUGAAGAAAUUGAGUCAUCUAGACAUGAGUAAUAACUUAAUAAGUGGAAAGAUACCUUCACAGUUGGGAAAUUUGAAAGAAGUAAAAUACUUCAAUCUCUCCCACAAUAACCUCUCUGGCACCAUUCCUUAUUCUAUUUCUAGUAACUACAACAAAUGGACAUUGAUUGAUUUAUCAAACAAUCGGUUGGAGGGUCAAACUAGAGCUCCGGUAGAGGCAUUUGGCCACAACAAAGGUCUAUGUGGUGAAAUCAAAGGUCGGCCACGAUGCAAGAAAAGGCACCAAAUCACACUCAUCAUUGUUGUUUCUUUAUCUACAACCUUGUUGCUUUCAAUUGCAAUCCUUGGUUUUCUCUUCCAUAAACGAAGGAUCAGAAAAAAUCAAUUACUCGAGACAACAAAGGUGAAAAAUGGAGAUCUAUUUUCCAUAUGGGACUAUGAUGGUGUGAUUGCUUAUCAAGACAUCAUCCAAGCAACCGAAGAUUUUGACAUCAAAUACUGCAUAGGCACGGGAGGCUAUGGGAGCGUUUACAGAGCACAACUACCUUCCGGGAAGGUGGUUGCCUUGAAAAAACUUCAUGGAUGGGAAAGAGGGGAUCCAACUUACUUGAAAAGCUUUGAAAAUGAAGUUCAAAUGCUAACAAGAAUACGACAUCGUAAUAUUGUGAAACUUCAUGGCUUUUGUCUACAUAAGAGAUGCAUGUUUCUAGUUUACAAAUAUAUGGAGAAAGGAAGCUUGUAUUGUAUGCUAAGGGAUGAAGUUGAGGCUGUGGAAUUGGAUUGGAUUAAGAGGGUGAAUGUUGUUAAAAGCAUUGCUAAUGCUUUAUCCUACAUGCAUCAUGACUGCGACUUGCCCAUCAUUCAUCGAGACAUAUCAAGUAAUAACAUUCUUUUGGACUCUAAGCUUGAAGCUUUUGUUUCGGAUUUUGGCACUGCAAGAUUGUUAGAUAAUGAUUCAUCCAAUCGAACCCUUCUUGUAGGCACUUAUGGUUAUAUUGCACCAGGUAAGCUAGAUUAUAAUCUUCACUAGUUUUCAUUACUUAUGAAUCUUUUCAAUUGUCACACCCUUACAAAAUUCCAAAAGUUUUUUAGAUCGAGAAUUCAAAAUAUUUUAUAAGUUUUCUCUAUAUAAAUAACAUGAAUACUCUUUUUUUUUCUAUAUUUUGCAGAGCUUGCUUAUACUAUGGUUGUGACUGAAAAAUGUGACAUUUAUAGCUUUGGGAUGGUUGCAUUGGAGACAAUGAUGGGAAUGCAUCCAGGAGAAUUUGUCACCUCAUUAUCAUCUUCAUCAACUCAAAACACAACGUUAAAGGAUGUAUUAGAUUCACGUCUUUCAUCUCCUAAAAGUACACAAGUUGCUAAUAACAUAGCUCUUAUAGUGUCAUUGGCGCUCAAAUGUCUCCAUUCUAAUCCACAAUUUCGUCCAUCCAUGCAAGAAGUGUCUUCGAAACUUGUUUCUACAAGGUCAUUCCCACAACCCAUCAGUACAAUAUCACUUUUGCAACUAAAAGAUGAAGUUAUUUAAAUGGCAUGGAGUUGGUAUGUAAUUGGAGUGAAGAUGUUUAUUUUCCAUUUUUCUUUUUCAUGGUAAUGAGAAUUUUAUAAUAUAUGUAUCCCUUCUUUCCUAUUAAUUACUCAAAUGCAAAUUUUCUAUUUGUUUUUCCAAAGCGGCAAUAGUGUAAUGUGAUACUAAGAAUUACAUCAAAUUGAUACACAAUGAUCUAUAAACUUUUAAUGAACCAUGUCAUUCCGAUUAAUAAUUUUUUAUAAUGAUUCUUUUUUGGAGAAAAAUCCUUCUUUUUCUUUUAUCAAUUUUAACAUAUAUACCAUUUUCUCCAUUUUCAUAUUCUAAUCAAUCAAAUUAGUGACAUUUCUUGUAAAUGUGACAAACCUAUUGUCAAAGGCAUUAAAAAAAUUAGGGAAAAAACAAAUUGAAUAAUUUCAAUGUGAUUGUCUCUACAUGAUGAAGAUAAUAAAUUUAUUUUAUUUAUUUUUAAAAUACUGUUUUAUCCAUUUUUCCUAUAUCAUCUAAAAUUUUGUCUAAAAUAAAAUUAUUUGAUUUUGUAUAAGAAUACUUAAAAAUGUCGGUGGGAAUGUGGGAUACUAGGCUGACACUAAAACACCAAAUGACAUACUUGUGAUACAAUAUUAAGAAAUUAUUUCAUAAUAUUUUAUAAUUUGUUUCUACUAUUUAGUCACCCAUAAAUAUCAAUUUUAAAAAAAUUUAAUGAUUAAAGAAAAUUAAGUGAGAUAUAAUUAAAUAACUCUAAAAAUUUUAUUUUCCCAUCAUGGAAUAACAGAAUUGAUAUUCAUACUAAUGAUUUUAUUAAGAUAAGAUACCUAGUCGAUAAAAUGUCCUUGAUUUUAUAUAAAAUUAGACAUUAUAUUUACUUAAAUUAUUUUCAUAAUAGUAGCAUAUUUGUUAAAUAUAUGAAACUAUUCAAAUUGAAUAAUUUAGGUAAACUAUGAAUAUUAUAAGUACGCCAUUAAUGCUCCUCGUUUUAAAAGAAGCAAUAUUUCAGUUUCAUAUCUAAAGUUUUUUUUUCCAACUCCAAUUGGUGUAUAUAGACCCGAUUUUGUAGUGAAGCUUGGCAGCUAGUAGGAUUUCCUUCACAGAAAAGAAUGGACAGAUGAAAUAAACAGAAACCAAACCAAGAGAUGAGUGUGGUGUAUUCUCAUUCCUUGGCUAGAAUCCCCACAUCACAGGUACUGCCUGUUAGCUUUUUUCUUAUAAUGUGUGGCCAUAUACAAUUAUAUUUGUAUGAAUAUUAUUUAAGGGUAUCAAUUGAUAGGUUGGUGAAUCAAUUGAUUGGGCAUCCAAGAGUCUUAUGUAUGGAAGAUUCAAAUUUAUAAAUGGGGAGUUAGAAAAUUUAACUCAUAUGAAUGUGGUGUUACAACUUUUGUAACCCCAUCAUUAUGAAAUUUAUUUGUACAUUAUGUUUAUGAGUAAUGGAGGAAAAUGGAAAAGUAUAACCUAUGCAAUUAUAUAGAUGCAUUCAAGUUCAUAACCCACCAUUACCCAUUGAUUUGUACAUAAUGGGUGUAAAUAAUGAGUAUAACUCUCAUAUAGUCUUUGAUGGGAAGACUAAGAGAUGUACAAUUUUUUUUAUAAGUUCAAGUCCCAAGCCACACUCUCAUUCUUAUAUCAUUUUUGUUAUUUAUUUUUAACAACAUACACCAUACAAAUGACUCAUCCACUAUAUGAGAGUAGUGAGUUGAAGACCUUGACAAUAUAAUUCACAAGGUGACUUAAUCUCACUUCAUGGUUCAAGGUAAGAAUAUGAUCAUUAUUUUAGUAUUUACAUUUAUUUUGUUUUAUGCAUCCAAAAUUGUUUUUUAAAAUAAUUAUUUCCGCAUAAAGUUUAUAAAAGUUUGGUUAACAAUUGGUAUCAGAGCCAACCAAUUUUGGAUCAUAAAACAUAUUUUUCCGUUUUUUGAUUAUUGUUUGAUCUUAUGGACAACUAAAAUAUAUAUGAUGUGAUGCAUAUGAAUGAUGUAGUAACACAACAUUUUCAAUGUUUCAUGAUUUCAAUCAUAUCUAUUGCAUGAUUUUAUGAAAGUUGAAAACAUAUGAUUAGUAAUUUAAAUGUGUGAUUAUGGAAAUCUCAAGAAAUAGUUUUUCUAGUAUGCAUGUUUAUUUACUUGUUUGUUUGAAGAUGAUCAUAUAUAUAUAUAUAUAUAUGUGUGUGUGUGUGUGUGUGUGUGUGUGUGUUGUUCAACUUAUGAAACAAGUGUUGAUCAACCCAACGGAGGAUCAUCACCAUGUUUGAUUAUAUGAAAAGAGUUUAAUAAUAAAAAGUUGAUGAAGUUUUUACCCAACGGUAUUAAACUUCUUUACGUUUCAAUACUUUUAUUUUAAUAAUUAUGUCAUAUCUAUAUGAUUUAUGAAUUAUUAUAAUUCAACCCAACGGAGGGAUUAUAAUAAUGUACUUUUGAAUUAUAUGAUUGUAGUUCGGUCCAACGAAAGAACUAUGAUAUAAUCUCUUAUGUUUAUAAUUAAUGUGAUAUCUAACUUAAUUUUUGUUGUAAUUAGAUUAUUGUAAAGUGUGGUGUUAAAUAUUGUCAUGAUAUAAAAUAAUUUUCCUUUUGAAUUAAUCCUAUUGCUAUUAUAGGCUAUUUGUCUGGUAUUGAACAAUUAAGUGGGGCAAAUUUUAAAAAAUGGAAGGAACAAAUUGGAAUUAUUCUUGGUUGCAUGGAUUUGGACUAUGCCUUAAGAGAACCUACACCCACAAAGCCUACUUCUGAAAGGACUAAUGAACAAAAGGUUUUAUAUGAAAAGUGGGAGCGCUCUAAUCGCAUGAGUCUAAUGAUUAUGAAAGGUUCAAUCACUCCUGCAAUUCGUGGAGCAAUCCCGGAUUCAGAUAAUGCAAUAACCUAUAUUAAAUCAGUUGAAAAACAAUUCUUAGGAACUUCCAAGUCCUUGGCAAGUACUCUUAUGAUCAAAAUGAUAACAAUGAAAUAUGAUGGUCAUAGUGGUGUACGUGAGCACAUCAUGAAGAUGAGUGACAUGGCUUCUCAAUUGAAAGGAAUGGACAUGACAAUUUCUGAAGGUUUUCUUGUUCACUUCAUAAUGACUUCCCUUUCUUCACAAUUUGGUCAUUUCAAAAUUAAUUAUAAUACUCAGAAGGAUAAGUGGAAAAUGAGUGAACUAAUUGCCAUGUGUGUUCAAGAAGAAGAGAGGCUUAAAGUGGAAAAGCCCGAUAUGGCUCACCUCACCAUUGGUCCAAAUAAAAAAUCCUUCAAGAAAGGUAAAGGUAAGAAAAAUAAGCAAGGUAAUGAUGUAUCUCACAAUGGGCAAAAGUAUGAAAAUAAGAUACAAUGUUAUUUUUUCCACAAGAAAGGUCACAAAAGAAGAGAUUGUUCUGGCUUUAAGCCUUGGUUGGAAAAGAAAGGUAAAACUCAAUGCUUAGUGUCUUAUGAAUCUUAUUUAGUUGAUAUACCACCAAACUCUUGGUGGAUUGACACUGAUGCAAGCAUUCACAUAACGAAUUCAUUGCAGGGAUACCUUACAAGCAAGAUACUAAGUAAAGGAGAGCGAACCAUUACUUUGGGAAAUGGAACAGAAGUGGAAAUUGAGGCUAUUGACACUCUUUGUUUAAUUUUGGAUACUGGUUUCAUUAUGGAUUUAGUAGAUAUAGUUUAUAUUCCUGUUUUUAUUAGAAACCUAAUUUCAGUUCCAAGACUUGAUUCUUAUGGUUAUGAAUUAAAGUUUGGAAAUAAUGGAGUUUCCUUGUUCUAUAAUUCUUGUUUGGUUGGCUCUGGCACUUUACAUGGUAAUCUUUAUUCAUUGAAUUUAGAUUGCAAAUAUUCACAGUCUCUUUUAUCUUAUCAUGUGUAUGAAUUCUCUAAAAAACGAAAUCAAGUGAAUGAAAAUUCAUCCAUAUUGUGGCAUAAGCGAUUGGGUCACAUUUCAAGAGAAAGGAUGGAACAUCUUAUUAAAGAUGAAAUUUUGACUUCACCUGAUUUUUCUGAUUUUACUAAUUGUGUUGAAUGCAUAAAGGGAAAACACACUAAGGUUAAGAAAAAGGGUGCCUCAAGGGCUACUAAAUUGUUAGAAUGUAUUCAUUAUGACAUUUGGGGACCUUAUUCAAUUCCAACUAUCAAUGGACAUAAGUACUUUAUUAGUUUUAUUGAUGACUUUUCAAGGUAUUCUUAUGUGUAUCUUAUUCGUGAAAAAUCUGAAGCAUUAGAUGUUUUUAAGAUUUAUAAAGCUGAGGUUGAAAAUCAACUCAAUCGGCGAAUUAUAAGUGUAAGAUCUGAUAGAUGUGGUGAAUAUUAUGGUAGGUUCACCAAAUCAGGUCAACAUCUUAGUGCUUUUGCCUUAUUUUUAAGAGAGCAUGGUAUCAUUGCAAACUACACAAUGCCUGGAACACCAGAGCAAAAUGGUGUAGCAGAGCGACAAAAUCGUACUCUAAUUGACAUGGUGAGAAGUAUGAUGAGUGACUCAACCUUGCCUGAAUUUUUGUGGGGUGAAGCAUUGAAAACUGCUGUUCACAUUCUCAAUCGUGUUUUUAGUAAGGUUGUACCCAAAACUCCUUAUGAGUUAUGGGUGGGUAGGAAACCGAAUUUGAAUUAUUUACAUGUAUGGGGAUGUCCAGUUCAAGCUAAAAUUUUUAACCCACAAAUCAAGAAAUUGGAUUCUAAAACCAUAAGUUGCAAUUUCAUUGGCUAUCCUGAAAGAUCAAAAGGUUUUAGAUUUUAUUGUCAUGGUCAGGGCCCUAAAAUUUUUGAAACUAGACAUGCUGUGUUUUUGGAAAAUGAAUAUUUUAGUGGGAGAACUGAGCUUAAAAAGUUAACCUCUAAUGAAGUAUCAACACCAAUGAUGGAAUAUGGUGUGACUCAAGAGGUUUCUUGUAAUGAAAAUGAGAAUGUCCCAACUACAGAAGCAUCUUUACGUAGAUCACAAAGAGAGAAAAAACCUGCUAUAUCAAAUGACUAUGAAGUUUAUCUUAAUGAGUGUGAUUAUGACGUUGGCUUGGAAAGUGAUCCUACUUCUUAUGAUCAAGCCAUCAAUAGUGAAAAUUCAACUCUAUGGCUUUAUGCUAUGGAAGAAGAGUUGAAAUCAAUGAAAGAUAAUGAAGUUUGGGAUCUUGUAAAAUUGCCUAAAGGAGAUAAAACUAUUGGUUGCAAAUGGAUUUUUAAAACCAAACAUGAUUUUAAGGGCAAUGUCGAAAAAUACAAGGCUAGGUUAGUUGCAAAAGGAUACACUCAAAAAGAAGGAAUCGACUAUAAGGAAGCAUUUUCUCCUGUUUCCAAGAAAGAUUCCUUAAGAAUAGUCAUGACUUUAGUAGCUCAUGUUGACUUAGAGUUACAUCAAAUGGACGUUAAAAUUGCAUUUUUGAAUAGUGACUUGCAUGAAGAGGUUUAUAUGGAUCAACCCGGGGGUUUUUAGGAUAAAAGCAAGGAACAUAUGGUAUGUAAACUUAAAAAGUCCAUAUAUGGUCUAAAACAGGCUUCUAGAUAAUGGUAUCUUAAGUUCCAUGAAAUUCUCAUCACUUUUGGUUUCAAAGAGAAUCUAGUGGAUCAAUGUAUAUACCUUAAGAUCAGUGGAAGCAAAAUUUGUAUUAUUGUAUUGUAUGUUGAUGAUAUGUUGCUUGCUAGCAACAAUAUGAGAAUGAUUUUGGAGACCAAACAAUUUUUAUCCAAGAAUUUUUAUAUGAAAGAUCUUGGUGAAGCAUCCUAUGUGAUGGAAAUUGAAAUUCAUCGAGAUAGGUCACGUGGAUUAUUAGGAUUAUCCCAAAAGAACUAUAUUGAAAAAUUUCUUAAAAGAUUCAACAUGCAAAAUUGUUUUAGUAGUGUUGCUCCUGUUGUGAAAGGGGACAUAUUUUGUGAACUUCAAUGUCCCAAAAAUGAUCUUGAAAAGAAACAAAUGGAAAAAAUUCCUUAUGCUUCAGCAGUAGGAUGUAUCAUGUAUGCUCAAGUCUACACUCAACUAGACAUAGCUUAUGUGGUAGGCAUGCUUGGUCGAUACCAAAGUAAUCCAGGUAUUGAUCAUUGGAAAGCAGUUAAAAAAAAGUAUUGCGUUAUUUGCAAGGGACUAAGGACUACAUGCUUACAUACAAAAGAACAGAUAAUCUAGAGAUUAUUGGUUAUUCUGAUUCUGAUUAUGCUGGCUGUAAGGAUACUAGAAAGUUUACAUCUGGGUAUAUUUUAUCAAAUGGACCUAUUUCAUGGAAAGGUCGUAAGCAAUCAUUGAUAGCUUCUUCUACAAUGGAGGCAGAAUAUGUAGCAUGUUAUGAAGCCACAUGUCAUGUAAUAUGGUUGAGAAACUUUGUCUCAGGGCUUCAUAUUAUUGAUUCAAUAAUGAGACCAUUGAGAAUAUAUUGUGAUAAUAGUGGUGCUGUCCGAUUCUCUAAAAAUAAUAAGACUACUGGAGGAUCAAAGCACAUUGAUAUUAAGUAUUUGGUUGUAAGGGAGAAAGUUCAACAUAGAGUUGUCUCUAUUGAACAUAUUAAAAAUACACUCAUGUUGGCAAAUCCAUUGACAAAAGGUCUUCCACCUAAGCUUUUUAUGGAUUAUGUUGCAUGCAUGGGCUUGGUGGCAAGUUUGUCAAUUUUAGAUUGAUUGAAAGUGUAAUGUAUGUGAUCACAUUAUAAUGAGAAUAAAGUUCUUGAUUAUGAUAUAUUGAUGAUUAUUAUGUUACUUUUAUACAUCAUUUUUGUGCACAAUCUAGAUGUUUAAAAGUUGAUGAGACCAUUAUGUGAAUGAAUUAGCAUUAUCACCUUAAUGUUGCUAAUGUCAUAAAAGUCAUUGAUUCAUGUUAAUGGAGGUGUUAGUACUAUAAUCCUUGAAGAAUAUUGGAUCGUUGUAUGAUCCAAUCAUUUCAAUGAUUUGGUGUUAGUGGUUCCAUGAAACAUAAUCUUAAAGUAAAGGAUGCCUAUUUUGAGAAAUUGUUAUGGCCAUAUUAUGUUUUAAUCUAUUACAAAUAUAAUUAUGUGGGCCAAGUGGGGGAUUGUUAGUUUUUUUCCCAUAAUGUGUGGCCAUAUACAAUUAUAUUUGUAUGAAUAUUAUUUAAGGGUAUCAAUUGAUAGGUUGGUGAAUCAAUUAAUUGGGCAUCCAAGAGUCUUAUGUAUGGAAAACUCAAAUUUAUAAAUGGGGAGUUAGAAAAUUUAACUCCUAUGAAUGUGGUGUUACAACUAUUGUAACCCUAUCAUUAUGAAAUUUAUUUGUACAUUAUGUUUAUGAGUAAUAGAGGAAAAUGGAAAAGUAUAACCUAUGCAAUUAUAUAGAUGCAUUCAAGUUCAUAACCUACCAUUACCCAUUAAUUUGUACAUAAUGGGUGUAAAUAAUGAGUAUAACUCCCAUAUAGUCUUUGAUGGGAAGACUAAGAGAUGUACAAUUUUUUUUAUAAGUUGAGGUUUCAAGCCACAUUCUCAUUCUUAUGUCAUUUUUUGUUGUUUAUUUUUAACAACAUACACCAUACAAGUGACCCAUCCACUAUAUGAGAAUAGUGAGUUGAAGACCUUGACAAUACAAUUCACAAGGUGACUCAAUCUCACUUCAUGGAUCAAGGUAAGAAUAUGAUUAUUAUUUUAGUAUUUACAUUUAUUUUGUUUUAUGCAUCCAAAAUUGUUUUUUAAAAUAAUUAUUUCCGCAUAAAGUUUAUAAAAGUUUGGUUAACACUGCUCUUCUUCACUCCAAAACCAGGUUCUUUUCUCUUUUCUCUUUUCCUGCUUCUCAAUUCCCAUAAUUCUCAUUCAUCUUCAAUGCUCUUAAUCAAGUCCAAGAGUUGCAGAUUGAUUUCAUGGGAAGUCAAUUCAAUUAUGAAUGACAAUAAUAAUAGUGGCAAGAAAGGUCAAUUGUAGUUCAUUCUCGAGUCACAAGGUCAAAUAUUGCAUUGGGUUGACUCAUCUAAGUCUUCUUCUUGGUCUUUUAUGUAAACAUGGCGUAGCUUGGAAAAUUAUACUAAUAAAUCCAUCAUUGAUCUCAACAUCAAUAUUUUUUUCUUCAAAUUAUUUGAUAGGAAGCCUCCCCAACGUGGAAUAUUGAAUUUAGUUGUUUAAUGGACUUCAAUCGCAUGCUCUUUGAAAUUAAGCCCCAGUCCAUAUUUUUUGUGUGUGUUCAUAUGGUAACCUGGCCUGUUAAAGAUGUAUUUCAUUUUCUUGAAAAGAAAUAAUUAGUGCAUACAUAUUUUGAGAAGAGAAAAAUUAAGAUUCAAUAUAUUUACAUUAUUAAUUUAUUAAAUAAGUAAAUAAUUAAUUAAUCAAAUAAUUUUUCAAAAAAUUAAAUAAUUAAUUAAUCAAAUAAUUUUUCAAAAAAUUAAAUAAUUAAUUAAUCAAAUAAUUUUUAAAAAAUUAAAGAAAAUAUUUUUGUUAAUUAAAAAAAUUUAUUUAUAAAGGGUUUAGAUAGAAAACAAAAAGAGGUUUUAAAUGUAAAGUUGCAUGGAGAAGUGAAUUGUAUGGUUUGGACAAUUUCAUAAAUAAAUCCAUCAUCAUCAUUGUAAGAUGGUUUACCCUUCUCAAAAUCAUUAUCAAACCUAGGUGUUUUUAAAAAAAUUUAUAAAGAUUUAUAUAUAUAUAUAUAUAUAUAUAUAUAUAUAUAUAUAUAUAUAUAUAUAUAUAUAUAUAUAUAUAUAUAUAUAUAUAUAUAUAUUUUAUGAUUUAUCAUUCUUUAAAUUCUGUUGACUCUUCUAAGUCUAUUUAUUGGUCUUUUAGGUAAAUAUGGUGUACCUUGAAAAAUUCUAUCCAUCAUUGAUUGAGAAGAUGUAUUUCAUUUUCUUGGAAAUAAAUAGUUAGUGCAUACAUAUUUUGAACACUUAACCGAGGAGAAAUAUUAAAUUAAAAAGAAAAAUGGCACCAUGCACUUAUAAGAUUCAAUAUAUUUGUUUAUUUGUUAAAUAAGUAAAUAAUUAAUUAAUCAAAGGCUUUAAAAUAUUUUAUAGAAAAAACUUUUGUUGAUUAAAAAAUAUAUUUUUCAAGCAUCCAUCUAACGUGAAAUCAUGGGAUGCACCUUUUUUUUUUCCACGGAUUCAAUUACUCUUAGAAAAUUAUCCCUUAUUCCUUAUUUUUUGUGCUCAUAUGGUGACCUAUUGAAGAUGUAAUUUGUAUAAAAUACAAUUUUUUAGCCUUAUUUAUAUUUAUAUUUUUCUGUGAUUUAAUAUAUCCCAAUAUUAUUUUAAAACACUUAUUUUUUAUACUUUACUAUAAGUUUAGAAAAAAAAUUUAAAUUUUUUUAUACUUUACCUUGUCAUGUUACAAUGCCCUAACCUUUUCCAAAGGUGGCUUUGGAAAUUAUGGCCCCAUCCACAUUUUGAUUUGUCAUGUUUACAAGUCAUGUAUCUGGGAAUCAAUCCUUUCAAAAACCCACUAUUUGGAGUCACUUUCGGAAACCAUUCCCUUCUCCAUAUUUUUGUGUUCACAUGGUCAGUUGUUGAAGAUGUAUUUGAUUUUUCCUUUUAAAAGAAAUAAUUAGUGCAUAGACAUCUUCAACAUCUAACCAAGGAGAAAUAUUAAAUUAAAAAGCAAAAUGGGUCAACCUCAAGACCCAAGGUCCGAGGAACCCAAGCCUUAACAACCGAUGAAGGGAUGACCUCAAAACCGAAGGUUCUUGCGUACUCUUCGUACUCAAAGGAAGACCUUGACAAAGAGUCGAAGACAUAAAGUGGAAAAUGAAGGUUGACUAACUUGGCUUGCAGGGAAAUGAAGUGGCCUUAUAACAAACACGCACGAUUUCAUAUUCUCAUAAGAUUCAACGUAUUUGUUUAUUUGUUAUUUAAUUAGUUAAUUAAUAAAGUCUUUAAAAAAAAUUAAAGAAAAAACUAUGAAAAAUAUAAGGAAAAUUGGAUAAGAAGUAACCCAAUAAAAAUAUUUUAAGAAAUAUGAGUUACUUUGUAGUCUUUUAAUAAAAAAAUAAAAUACAUUUUAUUUAACAUAAGGAGAUUUAUCUCCAAAAAUUACACCACCUUUCAUUAAAUAAUUUUAUUUUAACAUAAGUUUCUAACAAAAAAACUUCCCAAGAAAAACAUCAAAUAACAUUGUAAAAUCAAUAUUGUAAGUAUGAUAUGAUUUUCCUUAGGUUUCCUCAAUAGCCUGAGAGACUAGUGAUUUGGAACCAGUUUCUAAGCUUUCUGGAGCAUCCCCAACACUUUUGUGAUCAAACUUGAAACUAUAGCACUUGGUCCCUUUGAUCAUGCCAAUCACAUUUGUUGAUCCCUGUGGCUGCUAAAUGUUUUGAGUCUCUAAAUAUCCGCUUCCUUUCCAAAACUCGAAUGAACAAAACUAAGAACUUUAAUGCAAUCACCUUUCUAAAAAAAAUAAUAAUAAUAAAAUUGAAAAAAGAAAAAAUCAACAUGCAUGUUUAAAUAAUCACUCACUUCAUCUAUGUACAUUAAUUUAUUCCCCCUUGUGUUGUGAUCUAUUCAGAACUCAUCUUCUGAAUCACUAGAAGAAGAGUUCCUGGACUUGUCUGGCAUGAAAUUUGGCGGCAAGUUUGGGAACUUCACUGGAAUUCUUGAUGGUGGUGACUUUGUUGAUGAUGGCCCCAAACUUGCUGUGGUUGUUUUCCUCCGUUGUAGAUUUCGAGCAAUAUCAACACAGACCUGAUCAACCAUACCCAGAAAAUCUUUUACUAUAAUAAAUAAUUGAAGCGGGCUUGCCUCUUUGUUCUUUGAAGAUCGUGGUUGAUAAUAUUCUGUUGUUCUCCUUAAGAGCUCCAUUACCCUUGUUUGCUCUUCUCUCACCUCCCUUAAUUCUUCGCCUGCUGCUUCGAGAAAACUUUUCAUCUUCCUCAAAAAUCCUCCAUCACUGUUGGCAAAUGGUGCCACAAAUUGCUUGAUUUCAGUGGAAUGGGCUGUGAGAGUUGAACAUACGCCACCAAAGGCAUUGUAGUCCAUUUCAGCUACUUUCUUUACAUUAGAGAAUUCAGCACUUAGGCUUCCUACCACUGGUAAACCAAUCAUUAUGUAUUCCUUUUCUCUAUCCUCUCUUGAUGCCGAGUUCUCAGAAUACAGGCUACUGUUGCUGCUGUGACUCAAGCUGCGAUUUCGGUUCAAAACACAACGUUUGCCCUCAGAACGGACUACUUCUUCCACAACAAAGUGAAGUAACGUAGUUUUUCCAUCAGUGCUUUUAACAUCAGAAAGCUUUUGAAGAGCAGCGAGGUUAAAAGCUUGGGCAUUCCCUCUGGAAGUUCCAGCAUUCAUGCGAUUGCCUGCCUCGAGUAUGGCUUCCAAAAGUUUUAAGAAAAGUCCACGAGUUCGAAGCUCUUUGCAACCCAAUUCAAGUGUUUGUAAACAUUCCCUGAGAUGGAGAAUCUCUGAGUCAUAAUUCGAUCUGAAAAACAUGGCACUAAGACGUAUGAAUGCUGAUGGAACAGCUUUUAGGAUAUGGUAGAGGAAGGAUUCAGCAUCAGCCAGUCUUGUGGGGUCUCCCUCGAAUGCAAGGAUUUGGGAUUCUUCUUCUUUAGUUGGGGCAAUUUUUGUAAGCUUUUCAAGAGCAUCUGCAUUCAGGUCUUGGCCCUUAAUGAGUGCGUUGAGGAUCUCUUUUCGCGAGAUUGCUAAAGAUCGGAGUACAAUUGCUGUGUUUUGGGACUUUCGACUAUCAAGGAUGAAAAUCUGAGCCGAUUGAAUUGAGCUGGCACCAUUUGGGUUGUUAUGGUUUAUCUGAGGAGAUCUCCCAUUAGCAGCAACAUUUCCAAACAGUGCAUCCAUGAGGUCACCAUCGAAGCUGAGAAAUCAAUUGAAAAUUUUGGAAAUCCAGUAAAAUACCAAACAGAGGUGGUUAUGUAAUUCAAGAGACCAAAUUGGUAAAAUAUUACUACCUGAAAGAACCGCCAUUAAUUUUGUGCCACACCAUUGAAUGAUCGGCGUUAGUGUUCACUUUAUCCCAAUGCAAUGGCUUCAGCGCCACCCGACCAUUUCCAGUCCCUGCCUUGCUAUAUCCAGAUGAAGACUCUCCUAGUUUACUGCCAUUAGGCAUCCCUUUGGUCACCGAUGAGGCUUCUUUUGAUGAUGAAGUAAAACCACCCGCCUUAGGUGAGGGAGGUGGUGGUGGUAUGGGAUUUAUCUUAGCUGGGAUUGGUGGUGAGGGAGGUGGUGGUGGUAUGGGAUUUAUCUUUGCUGGGAUUGGUGGUGAGGGAGAUGGUGGUGGUGGUGGUAUGGGAUUUAUCUUAGCUGGGAUUGGUGGUGAGGGAGGUGGAGUAGCACUUGGCUUCUGUGGAAUUGCCAAUAUAGGUGGUGGGGGUGGGAGAGAUGUGGAUGAUUGAAUUGUUGAUUCAGUUUUUCCCACAGCCUCAAGAGAAAUCUCAGAAGAUUGUGACGAAGGAGGGGGGGCAGAAAACCAAUUCAGAUUUUCCACUUCUUCUUGAACUUCAUCAUAGGAAGUUGAAGACUUUCCUCGUAGCAAAGGAAUUUCUUGUAUAGGCUCAGACUUCGCCCUCCCAUCUCCAUUCCGACUCAUCCUUUUUUCUUCAUGUUUCAGAUUAUGUAGAGCCUGUUUAGGGAAACUAUUCUUCCUGUAAUCACCUUCAAGCUUCUUCCAAUAAAGCACGUCCAAACCAUUCUCAUCGACAAUCAGCCCAUUUAGAUUUCCAUUGAAUCGUGAGAACUCAAUGUGACUCACCACAUUUUCACCUCCACCUCGUGGAUCAUUUUUACCUUUCUGGCUUCUCCCCCGUGCAACCGUGUACUUUUGGAACAGAAUGAAGAACAACCCGGAGACAACUAUUGUGGUGGCUGCUGUUACAGCGACUGCCUUAGCAACAGCAUAGCUUGACGAUGACUUUGAUGAUGGAAUUGAUAGUUGGGAAAUUCGAGGAUUGGGAAUUGGAUUUGUUGGAUUUGGAGGAGGCCGGAACGGAUAGAAAGUUUCAAUAUUCCGAGGGGAAUUGGGUUGACAAGAAGAUAAAUGAAGAAUAGAAAAAAGGGAGACAAAAAACAGGGAGAUGAGAGGGCAUGGCUGAAUCACAGCAGCCAUGGAGAAAAGUUGGAUACAAUUGCAGAGAGGAUUAAAACGCACUCUGCUAGUCUUUUCUUUAUUUCAGGCAAUGCUGGUUGAUGUUUUGUCUUGUGCUUUUUGGGGUUUGGUCGUUGACAGUUUCAAACAGGAGUAGUUAGUUGGACCUGUUCUCAUUUUGGUAUUUCCCGGGCUUUUGUAUUUGAAAAAUCUACGAGCCUCAAUUGAAUUUGGAGGAUUCUUUUAUGAAUCUGAGGUGAAACAAAUUCAAACUUCAUCCCAGUAUUGAUUUUGGAAUUGAGUCGGUCUGAUUUAAAGCUUAUAUAUUAAAAAUAUUUAAUUACAAAGGUUUUUUAGUCUUUUUAGACGGAAAUAAUAUGGAUUGCUUUCUUGAAGCGUAAACUUGCAGCAAGGGAAGUGAUUGUCCUAGUCAUUGUCAUUGUCAUAGACGAGUCUUUUGUAGUGCUAAAAGACACAGAGCUGGGUGGUCGGCGACGACCCCAAUAUAAGACUUGAGCCCUGUGCUAAAAGGAGUUGCUUGACUUUGUGUGCUUCCAGGAAACAUUGAUUUCCAGGAAAUUAACUCUAAAAAAUAUAAUAAAUUUAUAAGGCCUUCAUUGAUAAAAUUAAUAUUAAUAAUAAUUAAGUGUAUUUAUAAUAAAUUUCAAGAGGUUUCAAUGAAAUUAACUCUAAAAAUUGAAAUAAUUAAUAUAUUUUAAAAAAAUUUAAAUGAAAAAUAUGGAUGAAAAUAAAAUAACAUAUAAAAUAUAAACCAUCCAUCUUUGAUACAAAGGACAAAAAUUUUGGAGAAAAAUGUUUCAUCAUUCCCUUGAUAAAAAAACUUACAUUUGUUUUAACCAUAAUAAUAGAAGAAAAAAAAGGGUAAAAGAGAAAAUGGAAGGUGAAAAAUGACGCAAAUAUAUUAAUUUCAUAUAUGCAUUCUGUUAUUUUUUUAAAAUUUAUAAAAAUAUUAAAAUAAGGAUAUUUUAGUUAUUAUGUUUUAAAAAAGUAACCAUGCUCCCUAUCUAAAAUAAAAUACAUUUUAAGUUUGUUUGUUUUGAAAAACAAGUUUUUCAAAUAUUUCAAUUCUAUUGCACCACCUCCCGAUUUUUUCAAAAAUACAUACGUAGAAGAUAGAAAGAGUUUUUAUCUCAUAUAUUAAAAAUAUUUAAAUUAGGAAGGUCUUUUAGAUAGGAAAGAAAAUCAAAUUAUGUGAUGAAUAAUUGAAUAUAAAUUGUCCCUUUUCAGACGUAAACUUGGUUUGUUAGGUUAGAAGAUAGCCAGAUGGGUGGUCAGUAAGAGAAUCAUGUGGACACCUAUAUUAUAGACUGAGAUUGAAAAAGAGUUGCUAGUUUUUUUACGGGAAGAGUCUUUGAGUCAGUCUGGAACUAUCUAGGAUAGUUUUUUGUUCUCUACGAAUAAAAAAUAUAAAAAAAAGAAUGUUUGAUAAUUAAAAUUGUUUUAUGUUUUAUAUUUUUAAGAACCGAAAAGAAGAUGUUUUUAAAAAACAUCUUCUAAUUAUUUUAUAUUAUUUUUAUAUGUUUUUUUAAAGUUAUUUUAAGAAAUAAUUAUACAAAUAUGUAAAAUGAUUAAAAAUAAAAUACUAGAUAUAAAAAUUAUUUUUAAAAUAUGUUUUAAAAUAUUAAAAACAUGUUAAAAACAUUUUAGGUAUUCAAAUAGAAUUUUGUUUUACAAAAAUCAAAGAACGGUUUUUAAAAAUUGUUUUUAAAAACUAUUUUUCAAAAUUCUUUUUGAAAGCAGUUACCAAACAUACCAUUUUUUUGCAUUGAGAAGUGUUUUUGUUUUUUGAUAUUUUGUAAAACAAAAAAUUUAUUUGUUAAUUUGAAAUAUUUUUGUGUUGAAUAUGAAAUAUUUUUAACCUAUUUUUAUUUUUUCGUAUUUUUAAAUAUAUUUUAAAAACAAUUUUUGUUUGUAGUAUUUUAUUUUGAAUUAUUUUUCACAUUUAUAUAAAUAUUUUUUUAAAUAGUCAUAAAAAAUAAAUUAAAAAAAUUAAAGGAUAUUAUUUAAAAUACCUUAUGUUCUAUUUUUAAAAAUAAAAACUAUUUUUAUUUUCCAUUUAUCAAAUGUAAUUUUUUUCCUUCCGAAAACAAAAAAUUGUUUUCAAAAAUAGUUACUAGAGAAUGCCCUAAGUACCAAAGUAUUUUGUGGAAGAAUAUAAGGUAAAUUUUUUAUCUUUUGUAAAAUUUUUAUUUUUAAACAUAUAAAAUAGAAAAUAUAUCCAUAUGUAAUUGUAGUAAUUAUUAUAAAUGUUUUAUUUGAAUUUUAGAUAAUUUAAAAAAAUUUCCUAAAAUUUUAUUUAACUUUUAUAAUUUGUUAAGGUCUAGGUUUUUGUCAAGUCUUCAUCUACAUUUAUGUAAAAUUAUGUAGGUUUUCAAAGAUUCUCGGAAAAAUUUAUUUCAUUCUCAUUUUGAUUAUACUGGUUUGUUUUUGUCAAGUCUUUGUCUAGUUUUAUGUAACAUUUUGUAGUUUUCUAAAAAAUCUUGGAAAAUUUUAUUCCAUUCUCAUUUUGAUUGUGUUGUUUUGUUUUUGUCUUCAUCUAGUUUGGUGAGGAGUCAAUAAAUUCAUAACGCGUAAAUCAUAACUUAUUUAAUUUGUUGACUAAGUUAAUAAAUAUGAUUUAAUAAUUUAAUUUAAGUAAUUAAAUAGAUUAAACAUCUUUGAUAAAAUAAUCUAAUAUCAUAAUUUAAUAUAAAAAAUAAUUUUAAGUAUUAAGUCAAAAUGCUUACUCAUUCUUAAUUUUAAAUCUUUUUUACCUAUUAUGCUCACAUGAAAUCUAAUACAAAAAAUUUUAUAAUCUAACUUUGGGUUUUUUUUUCUUUAAUGUUUCAUUAAUUUGAACUCUUAACUAAACAUAAAUAUUUAAGUGCAUAUUUAUUUUUAUAAUGAUAAGUAUUAAAACAAUAUAAAUUAAAUAAUGUAAUAAUUUUUAAAUUAUAAAUAAUAAGAUAGAUAGUGUUUUUAUGUAAAUAAAAUAAAAUACUAUAUUUUUUGUUUUGUUUUAAAUAUGUCUUCACACUUAAAUAUUAUAUAUGUUUUCAAAUAUUAGUUCAUUUAAAUUUAAACUUGUCCUCAUUUCUUUUGAUGAUAUCAAAUAUAAAAGAUAAAAUGUUAUUAAAAGUUUGAAUUAUAUUUAUAUUUCAUAGUUUUUUUACAUUAUUGGUUUGACCACAGUUCAAUUAUCAGUUCCAAUCAAUAAAUCGGUAAUUUUUUUUAUUCAAUGACUGGUCUAGUUCUAAAAACAUUGAUUUAAUGUAUUAAAACAAUUUUAAUAUUUAAAGUAAAAAUAAAAUAUUAUGUUUAUUAAAUAAUAAGUAUUAAGUUUUAUUAGUGAUUAUUUAAAUUUUUAAAAGUGGUUUUAAGAAUUUGUCAAACACCUAAUUUAUCUCAAAAAACACUUUCAUGUAUCACAUAUGAGAGACUUUUAACUUUUUCAAAAUCAUUAUCAAACAUACUUAUGAAAAAUUUUACAAAGAUUUUUUGGUACAUAUUUUUUGUAAGUUGUCAUUGUUUACAUUGGGUUGACUCUUCUAAGUCUUCUUCUUGGUCUUUUAGGUAAACACAGCGUAGCUUGGAAAAUUAUAUGAAUAAAUCCAUCAUUUAUCUCAACAUCAAUAUUUUUUUCUUCAAAUUAUUUGAUAGGAAACCUCGGAAAAUAUUGCCUUGAAAAAUGUGGUUGUAUUCACAUUUUUUCCACGAUAGUAGAGGUCUCAUAUUUUGGCUAUGAACUUUUUGGAAAAUCUAUUAUUAGAAGUAAACAACACGUAACUAAUUAAGUCAUUAAAUUAUUUAGAAAUAGUUUUUUUAAAGGUUCUUAGAAAACUUUACAUUUUUAUUUUGAUUUAUAAUGUCUAAAAAUCCUAUAUUACACUAUAAAUUAUUUUAAAAAUAUGCUAUUAGGAGUAAAGGAAACAAGAAACUUAUAUCAGUAAGAAAAAAUUUCUAUCUUUACCUUUUGAAAUUAGAGAAACUAUAUUUUUUUUAAUUAUAAGAAAUGAUGGAAAAAUAGUCUAAUUGAAAAAAAAAAAAAGGUAAAAGAGAAAAAUGUUUGUUUUAAAACAUAAUUUUUAAAUAUAAACCUAAAAAUAUCAAAUGUAUUAUCAUUAAUAUUUGAAAUUAUCAAAAUUUGUGAGAUAAUAAUUUCAUUUUGUUCUCCAUUAUAUAUUUAUGUUUAUAUUAAAUUUAUUUUCAUUAAUUUUUUUUAAUAUAUUAUUAUUUUGUGUUUAAUGGGAUAAUAUUUUCAUUUUUUUUUUGUAUAUUAUCCAUUUAUGUUUAUAUUAAUUUAUAUAUAUAUAUAUAUAUAUAUUAUCAUUUUGUGUUUAAUGUACAAUAAUUUUUUUUUUUGUCUAUUAUGUAUUUAUGUUUAUAUUAAAUUUGUUUUAUUAAUUAUCUUUUAUAUAUAACCAUUUUUUAUUUAAUGUGUUUAAAAAAAAUUAAAAUUUAAAAGAUGUAAUGAGAGAAAGUGUAGUGAGAAAUAAAUAAAUAAAUAUGUGUCGAAAACUUAGAUAAGGUAACAUGGAGGAGAAAAGAGAAAAAAAAAAUUGACUCAAUUGUGUCAAAAACCCGUAAAGGUUUUUGUGUGAAUCUCAUUCUUUUUAUUCCAUUUCUUCUAUCAUCUCUUAUAUUUUCCUUUUUCAUGUAAGCACGUUAAAAGUUUACCAAAGUUGCGAUUAAUUAAAAAAUAUUGCCUGUUCACAUUUUGAUUCAUUCAUGAUGUUUAAAUGUUUUGCAUGUAUUUGGGUUCUAGCCCUUCCAAAAAUCCACUAAUUUUUGUGUUUUGGAAAAUCCUCACCUAGUUCAUAUUUUUUGUGUUCUCAUUCUUCAUUAAGUUAGAAGACAAUCUUAGUGAGUGUCAAUGUUCACAUUACUUUUAUUGCAAUCCACUUGAGCGGAGACAAGGAAAUUUCAUUCAUGGUGGUCUUCCCACUAAAUUAAGGUGAUUGAGAUUUGUUUCGAUGGGUCAAUAUCAUGAAUUAUGUGAACACCAAUAUUAGAGGUUGUAGUAGUAGACUAUAAAAGUGUUGCCUAACUUGGGGUGUUUUCCGGAAGAGAGCCUCUUAGACACCAAUAUUCGAAAGCACUUAUCUUGAUUAUGGGGGUAAAAAAUGAAGUAGUUUUUGUUUUAGCUUAUGUUUGGUUCUUGGAAAACACUAAGGAAAGAAAAAAAAUGUAAAAGAAAAUGAUUUUUUUCAUGUUUAAUUAUCUUAUGAAAAAUAUCAAAGAAAACCAAAUAUAAUUAUAACUAGUUAGAAAUUUAUAUAUAUUUAAAUUAUUUAAUCUUUAUAUUAAUGAGUUAAAAUAAGUAAAAUGAGUUUAAAAUAACAAAUAAAAAUAAUUUAUAGACUCUUAAUCUAUUUUUUAUUUUCCUUUACUUUUUAUUUCCUUUUACUUUUCCUUUGCAUUUUUUUUCCCUUGCAUUUUUCCUUAAAUUUUUUGAGAACCAAACAUAGCCUUAGGAAACAAAAGAAGUAGUCCAAAAGUAUUUUGUAUAUGAAUAUAAGGUAAAUUCCUAUCUUAUGUACAAUUUAUAUUUUUAAAAAUAAAAAAUGGAAAAUAUAUGUACAGACAACCUUAAUAAUUAUCAUAAAUAUUUUAUUUGAACUUCAAAUUUUCUUUUCAUUUUUCAUUUUAUGAUUUAAAAGUUUUAUUUUUUCUAAAAUUUCAUUCAACUUUUAUAAUUUGCUAUUGUUCGCUUUUGUUUUUGUCAAGUCUUUGUCUAGUUUUUCAAAGAUUCUUGGAAAAUUUUAUCUCAUUCUCAUUUUGAGCGUGUUGUUUUGUUUUAGUCACGUCUUUAUCUAGUUUUAUAAUGAGUCCACAAAUCCAUACUGCGUAAAUCAUACGUAAUUUUUUUUUUUUGACUCAUUAUGAAUAUUUUAUUUAACUUUUAAAUUUUCUUUUAAUGAUCAUUUGCGUUUGUGAAGGGUCAUUCUUUUCAUUUUGUUUGACUUCUCAAAUCUCAUUUUCAUGUGAAACUUUGUAGGGUUUUCCAAAGGCCCUUGGAAAAUAUUGCCUUAUUCAUUAUGAAAUCUUCCAAAAAUCCAUGACGGGCAAUAAAUAAGGUAUAAGCUUAAUUGAGUGAUUACAUUAUUUAGAACUUAUAUAGGAUUGAUUUUAGGUAAAGCAUUCUUAAUUUGUAGUAGUCUUUGUAAUUAGUGUUUUUAUUAGAAAAACUUUUUAAGAAAAAUCAAUUAGUGCUUAGAUAUAAUAACAAAAAAAAAUAUAUAUAUUUUUAUAGUAUUUUUAGUAAUGUGUUAUAUAUAACAAAAAAAAAAAAAACAUAAAAUCUCCUAACAUGUGAUCAUCCAUGAAUCACUUUAGAUGAUUAACUAAAAUUUUAAAAUAACUUUAUGAUUAUCAUUCUUUAAUUUCGGUUGACUCUUCUAAGUCUACUUAUUGGUCUUUUAUGUAAAUAUGCUAUAGUUUGGAAAAUUCUAUCCAUCAUUAAUCAACAUCAAUCGUUGUUUUCUUUAAAUGAUUUGAUGGGAAAGCCUACCUCACAUGGAAUAUGGAGUGCCUUUGUUUAAUGGAUUUCAAUUGCAUGCUCCUGGAAAUUAUGCCCUAAUCCAUAUUUUUUUGCGUUGAUAUGGUGAGUUGUUGAAGAUGUAUUUCAUUUUCUUGAAAAGAAAUAAUUAGUGCAUAAACAUUUUUGAAAUAUUAAAUUAAAGAGGAAAAUGACACCAUACUCCCAUAAGAUUCAAUAUAUUUGUUUAUUUGUUAAAGAAGUAAAUAAUUAAUUAAUCAAAGACUUUAAAGGAAAUAUUUGUGUGAAUUAAAAAUAUAUAUUUAAAUUAUAAAGGAUUUAGAUAGGAAAGAAACAGAGGUUUUAAAUGUAUAAACUUGCAUGCAACAAAGGGAAUUUGUUGUCAUUGUCUACUGCCUUCUUUGUUACGUUAGAAGAGAGACAGCUGGGUGAUGAGCAUUUGUGUUCGAUCACAUUUACUUUUAUUGCAUGCAGUCCGCACUUAACUGAAAACAAGAAAUUAAUUCAUGGACCACGAGGACAUUAAUAUUAAUAUUAGAGACGUGAGCAGUAGACUGACUUGACUUGGUGUGUGCUUCCGGGAAGAGUCUUUCUUAGUCUUAGGCACCAACUAAUAUUUAUAUUUAUAUUUGCAUUAUAAAAGUGUGGUAAGGUUUAAUUGAUUGCGCAGAAUUAAAGAUGGCGUCCUCCAUUAUUAUUUUUACAGCAGUGGUGGUAGUUACCAUCACCAGUACCAUGAUGAUAAUGUUAUUCCCCCUUGCCAAUGCAAUAUCAUCACCAUCUUCAUCAACUGAUGAGGCAGAGGCUUUGCGCAGCACCGGUUGGUGGAAUUCUACCUCUGCUCAUUGCCACUGGGAUGGUGUAUUUUGCAAUAAUGCCGGAAGAGUGACUGGAAUCGCCCUUUACGGUUCAGGAAAAGAAUUGGGUGAGCUUAGCAAAUUGGAUUUUUCUUCAUUUCCCAGCCUGGUUGAGCUCUCCCUUUCUGACUGUGGACUCAAUGGUAGCAUCCCACACCAAAUAGGUACUCUUACUCAACUCACCUAUCUUUCUCUCGGUCUUAACAAUCUUACAGGUGAGCUACCUCUUUCCUUGGCUAACCUCACUCAGUUGGAGGUCCUUUCCUUUUAUUCUAAUCGACUACAUGGUUCGAUUCUUCCUGAAAUUGGGAAAAUGAAGAAUUUGACUGUUUUGGAUUUGGGUAAUAACAACCUUACUGGUGUCAUCCCUUCCUCUUUUGGUAAUCUUACCAAUCUGACAUUUCUUUAUCUUGAUGGUAAUAAAAUAAGUGGUUUUAUCCCUCCUCAAAUUGGGAAAUUGAAGAAUCUGAGGUUUCUCUAUCUUUCUUCUAACGGACUACAUGGUCCAAUUCCUCCUGAAAUUGGGAAAUUGAAGAAUUUGGAGGUGCUUUAUCUUUUUUAUAACAAACUACAUGGUCUAAUUCCUCCUGAAAUUGGGAAUAUGAAGAAAUUGAUUUUUUUGAAUCUACGUAGUAACAACCUUACUGGUGUCAUCCCUUCAUCUUUUGGUAAUCUUACCAAUCUGAAUUCUCUUACUCUUCGAGGUAAUCAAAUCAGUGGUUUUAUUCCUCCUGAAAUUGGGUAUCUUUUGAAUUUAUCAUAUCUAGAUCUCAGUGAGAAUCAAAUCAGUGGUUUCAUCCCUGAAGAAAUAGUGAAUUUGAAGAAAUUGGGUCAUUUGGACAUGAGUAAUAACUUAAUACGUGGAAAGAUACCUUCACAAUUGGGAUAUUUGAAAGAAGUAGAAUACUUCAAUCUCUCCCAUAAUAACCUCUCUGGCACAAUUCCUCAUUCUAUUUCUAAUAACUACAUGUGGACGUCAAUUGAUUUAUCACACAAUCAGUUGGAGAGUCAGUCCACAACUCCACAUGAGGCAUUUGGCCACGACAAAGGUUUAUG
Molecule: long non-coding RNA, 22813 nt
Filed under: Vitis vinifera (wine grape)
Lineage: Eukaryota; Viridiplantae; Streptophyta; Magnoliopsida; Vitales; Vitaceae
Description: long non-coding RNA (VVIN_LNC004886)
Source: RNAcentral